GAAAUGCGAUAAGUAAUGUGAAUUGCAGAAUUCAGUGAAUCAUCGAAUCUUUGAACGCACCUUGCGCUCCUUGGUAUUCCUUGGAGCAUGCCUGUUUGAGUAUCAUGAAAUCUUCAAAGUAAAUCUUUUGUUAACUCAAUGGUUUCUACUUUGGUAUUGGAGGUCUUUGCAGCUUCACACCUGCUCCUCUUUGUUCAUUAGCUGGAUCUCAGUGUUAUGCUUGGUUCCACUCGGCGUGAUAAGUUAUCUAUCGCUGAGGACACUGUAAAAGGUGGCCAAGGUAAAUGCAGAUGAACCGCUUCUAAUAGUCCAUUGACUUGGACAAUACUUUUAUGAUCUGAUCUCAAAUCAGGUAGGACUACCCGCUGAACUUAAGC
This 377-nucleotide unclassified non-coding RNA is filed under the name plant metagenome. Its description in RNAcentral is "partial contains 5.8S ribosomal RNA, internal transcribed spacer 2, and large subunit ribosomal RNA". The stretch from base 1 to 105 matches the Rfam family "5.8S ribosomal RNA", at positions 50 to 154 of the family's 154-position model. The record is from RNAcentral.